GACGAACGCUGGCGGCGUGCUUAACGCAUGCAAGUCGAGCGGUAAGGCCCUUUCGGGGGUACGACGAGCGGCGAACGGGUGAGUAACACGUGGGUGACCUGCCCUCAGCUCUGGGAUAAGCCUGGGAAACCGGGUCUAAUACUGGAUAUGACUCCAUGACGCAUGUUGUGGGGUGGAAAGCCUUGUGCGGCUGAGGAUGGGCCCGCGGCCUAUCAGCUUGUUGGGUGGGGUGA
RNAcentral lists this ribosomal RNA (233 nucleotides) under uncultured bacterium. Its description in RNAcentral is "partial 16S ribosomal RNA". It matches the Rfam family "Bacterial small subunit ribosomal RNA", at positions 28 to 260 of the family's 1533-position model. The record is from RNAcentral.